This 89-nucleotide transfer RNA is filed under the name Puniceicoccales bacterium. Its description in RNAcentral is "tRNA-Ser". It matches the Rfam family "tRNA". From Rfam's summary of the family: Transfer RNA (tRNA) molecules are approximately 80 nucleotides in length. Their secondary structure includes four short double-helical elements and three loops (D, anti-codon, and T loops). The record is from RNAcentral. Lineage: Bacteria; Pseudomonadati; Verrucomicrobiota; Opitutia; Puniceicoccales.
GGAGAGAUGGCAGAGCGGUUGAUCGCGUCGGUCUUGAAAACCGAAGUGCCCACUGGGCACCGAGGGUUCGAAUCCCUCUCUCUCCGCCA